Molecule: ribosomal RNA, 446 nt
Filed under: uncultured bacterium
Lineage: Bacteria
Description: bacterial SSU rRNA
Rfam family: Bacterial small subunit ribosomal RNA
Source: RNAcentral
UUCCAGACUCCUACGGGAGGCAGCAGUGGGGGAUAUUGCACAAUGGGGGGAACCCUGAUGCAGCGACGCCGCGUGGGUGAAGGAGCGUUUCGGCGCGUAAAGCCCUGUCGGCAGGGAAGAAGAUGACGGUACCUGACCAAGAAGCCCCGGCUAACUACGUGCCAGCAGCCGCGGUAAUACGUAGGGGGCGAGCGUUAUCCGGAAUUACUGGGUGUAAAGGGAGCGUAGACGGCGAAGUAAGCCUGAAGUGGAAGCCCGCGGCCCAACCGCGGAACUGCUUUGGGAACUGUUUUGCUGGAGUAUGGGAGGGGUAAGCGGAAUUCCUGGUGUAGCGGUGAAAUGCGUAGAUAUCAGGAGGAACACCGGCGGCGAAGGCGGCCUGCUGGACCGCGACUGACGUUGAGGCUCGAAAGCGUGGGGAGCGAACAGGAUUAGAUACCCCCGUA